GCGGGUGUAGUUUAGUGGCAAAACACCACUCUUCCAAAGUGGUUUCGUCGGUUCGAUUCCGUCCACCCGCACCA
RNAcentral lists this transfer RNA (74 nucleotides) under Opitutaceae bacterium. Its description in RNAcentral is "tRNA-Gly". It matches the Rfam family "tRNA". Rfam says of the family: Transfer RNA (tRNA) molecules are approximately 80 nucleotides in length. Lineage: Bacteria; Pseudomonadati; Verrucomicrobiota; Opitutia; Opitutales; Opitutaceae. The record is from RNAcentral.